Molecule: ribosomal RNA, 501 nt
Filed under: uncultured bacterium
Lineage: Bacteria
Description: bacterial SSU rRNA
Rfam family: Bacterial small subunit ribosomal RNA
Source: RNAcentral
GUCAGGACGAACGCUGGCGGCGUGCUUAACACAUGCAAGUCGAACGGGGAUAGCGUUGGAAGUCCUUCGGGGUGGAAGAUGCUAUUCGAGUGGCGGACGGGUGAGUAACGCGUGAACAAUCUGUCCCAGACAGGGGGAUAACACUUGGAAACAGGUGCUAAUACCGCAUAAGACCACGGUGUCGCAUGGCACAGGGGGUAAAAGGAGCGAUCCGGUUUGGGGUGAGUUCGCGUCCGAUUAGCCAGUUGGCGGGGUAACGGCCCACCAAAGCGACGAUCGGUAGCCGAUCUGAGAGGAUGACCGGCCACAUUGGAACUGAGAGACGGUCCAAACUCCUACGGGAGGCAGCAGUGGGGAAUAUUGGGCAAUGGGCGAAAGCCCUGACCCAGCAACGCCGCGUGAGUGAAGAAGGCCUUCGGGUUGUAAAGCUCUGUUAUAGGGGACGAAGUGCGUGACGGUACCCUAUAAGGAAGCCCCGGCUAACUACGUGCCAGCCGCUGC